This 2064-nucleotide ribosomal RNA is filed under the name Acinetobacter baumannii 1546444. RNAcentral's name for it is "bacterial LSU rRNA". It matches the Rfam family "Bacterial large subunit ribosomal RNA", at positions 881 to 2925 of the family's 2925-position model. Lineage: Bacteria; Pseudomonadati; Pseudomonadota; Gammaproteobacteria; Moraxellales; Moraxellaceae. The record is from RNAcentral.
CUCGGACGAAUACCAUAGGGGGUAGAGCACUGUUUCGGCUAGGGGGUCAUCCCGACUUACCAAACCGAUGCAAACUCCGAAUACCUAUGAGUACUAUCCGGGAGACAGACUGCGGGUGCUAACGUCCGUAGUCAAGAGGAAAACAAUCCAGACCGCCAGCUAAGGCCCCAAAAUCAUAGUUAAGUGGGAAACGAUGUGGGAAGGCAUAGACAGCUAGGAGGUUGGCUUAGAAGCAGCCACCCUUUAAAGAAAGCGUAAUAGCUCACUAGUCGAGUCGGCCUGCGCGGAAGAUGUAACGGGGCUAAAACUAUGUGCCGAAGCUGCGGAUGUAUACUUUGUAUACGUGGUAGGGGAGCGUUCUGUAAGCCGAUGAAGGUGUGUUGAGAAGCAUGCUGGAGGUAUCAGAAGUGCGAAUGCUGACGUGAGUAACGACAAAACGGGUGAAAAACCCGUUCGCCGAAAGACCAAGGGUUCCAGUCCAACGUUAAUCGGGGCUGGGUGAGUCGACCCCUAAGGCGAGGCCGAAAGGCGUAGUCGAUGGGAAAAUGGUUAAUAUUCCAUUACUUCUGUGUAAUGCGAUGAGAGGACGGAGAAGGCUAAAUCAGCCUGGCGUUGGUUGUCCAGGUGAAAGGAUGUAGGCAUGUAUCUUAGGCAAAUCCGGGGUACUCUAUGCUGAGAUCUGAUAGCAAGCUGUACUUGUACAGCGAAGUGGUUGAUGCCAUGCUUCCAGGAAAAGUCUCUAAGCUUCAGUUACACAGGAAUCGUACCCGAAACCGACACAGGUGGUCAGGUCGAGUAGACCAAGGCGCUUGAGAGAACUCUGCUGAAGGAACUAGGCAAAAUGGUACCGUAACUUCGGGAGAAGGUACGCUGUUGUUGGUGAUGGAACUCGCUUCCUGAGCUGACGACAGCCGCAGAAACCAGGCCGCUGCAACUGUUUAUUAAAAACAUAGCACUCUGCAAACACGAAAGUGGACGUAUAGGGUGUGAUGCCUGCCCGGUGCUGGAAGGUUAAUUGAUGGGGUUAGCGUAAGCGAAGCUCUUGAUCGAAGCCCCAGUAAACGGCGGCCGUAACUAUAACGGUCCUAAGGUAGCGAAAUUCCUUGUCGGGUAAGUUCCGACCUGCACGAAUGGCAUAAUGAUGGCGGCGCUGUCUCCAGCAGAGGCUCAGUGAAAUCGAAAUCGCUGUGAAGAUGCAGUGUACCCGCGGCUAGACGGAAAGACCCCGUGAACCUUUACUGCAGCUUGACACUGAACUUUGACCUUACUUGUGUAGGAUAGGUGGGAGGCUUUGAAGCUGGAACGCUAGUUCCAGUGGAGCCGUCCUUGAAAUACCACCCUGGUAAUGUUGAGGUUCUAACUCUGUCCCGUGAUCCGGGACGAGGACCGUGUCUGGUGGGUAGUUUGACUGGGGCGGUCUCCUCCUAAAGAGUAACGGAGGAGUACGAAGGUGCGCUCAGCGUGGUCGGAAAUCACGCGUAGAGUAUAAAGGCAAAAGCGCGCUUAACUGCGAGACCCACAAGUCGAGCAGGUACGAAAGUAGGUCUUAGUGAUCCGGUGGUUCUGUAUGGAAGGGCCAUCGCUCAACGGAUAAAAGGUACUCUGGGGAUAACAGGCUGAUACCGCCCAAGAGUUCAUAUCGACGGCGGUGUUUGGCACCUCGAUGUCGGCUCAUCUCAUCCUGGGGCUGAAGCAGGUCCCAAGGGUAUGGCUGUUCGCCAUUUAAAGAGGUACGCGAGCUGGGUUUAGAACGUCGUGAGACAGUUCGGUCCCUAUCUACCGUGGGCGCUGGAAAUUUGAGAGGAUCUGCUCCUAGUACGAGAGGACCAGAGUGGACGAACCUCUGGUGUACCGGUUGUGACGCCAGUCGCAUCGCCGGGUAGCUAUGUUCGGAAGGGAUAACCGCUGAAAGCAUCUAAGCGGGAAGCCUACCUCAAGAUAAGAUUUCCCUAGGACUUUAUGUCCUCUAAAGAGCCGUUCGAGACUAGGACGUUGAUAGGUUGGAUGUGGAAGCAUAGUGAUAUGUGAAGCUGACCAAUACUAAUUGCUCGUGAGGCUUGACUA